CGCUGGUCGGCAUGCUUAACACAUGCAAGUCGGACGGGAAGCACCCUAGUGGUGCUUUCAGUGGCGGACGGGUGAGUAACGCGUAAGAACCUGCCCUUGGGAGGGGGACAACAGCUGGAAACGGUUGCUAAUACCCCAUAGGCUGAGGAGCGAAAGGAGGAAUCCACCCAAGGAGGGGCUUGCGUCUGAUUAGCUAGUUGGUGAGGCAAUGGCUUACCAAGGCGACGAUCAGUAGCUGGUCUGAGAGGAUGUCCAGCCACACAGAAGA
This 268-nucleotide ribosomal RNA is filed under the name Entodon pulchellus. RNAcentral describes it as "partial small subunit ribosomal RNA". It matches the Rfam family "Bacterial small subunit ribosomal RNA", at positions 40 to 319 of the family's 1533-position model. The record is from RNAcentral. Lineage: Eukaryota; Viridiplantae; Streptophyta; Bryopsida; Hypnales; Entodontaceae.